AAUAUGGAAUAAAAUCUUAUUAAUAAAAAUUAAUUAUUAAAAAUUAAAUUUUAAGUUUAAAUUUAUUAAGUGAAAUUUUAUAUUUAAAUUAUAUUUAUUUUUAAAAAUGAAGUUUAAAAAUUAAAUUUUUAAACUAGGAUUAGAUACCCUAUUAUUUUUAGUGUAAUUUUAUUAUUAAAUUAUUAUAAGUUAAAAUCUUUAAAGUUAAAGAAUUUGGCGGUAUUUUAGUCUAUUCAGAGGAACCUGUUUUUUAAAAUGAUAAUCCACGAUUUAAUUUAUUUUUAUUAUAAAUUUGUAUAUCAUCGUAAUUAAGUAUUUUUUUAGAAUUAUAAAUAUUUAAAGUUUUUUAUAAAAAAAUUAAUCAGAUCAAGGUACAGUUUAUAUAAAAGUUAAAAUGGGUUACAAUAAAAUUAUUUUUGGAUAAUUUUUAUUAUAGGAAUUUGAAUUUGGAUUUGAAAGUAAUUUUAAUUAAUUUAUUAAUUUGAUUUAAGCUCUAAUAU
RNAcentral lists this ribosomal RNA (500 nucleotides) under Ophraella sp. ZSOP. RNAcentral describes it as "partial 12S ribosomal RNA". The record is from RNAcentral. Lineage: Eukaryota; Metazoa; Arthropoda; Insecta; Coleoptera; Chrysomelidae.